This 254-nucleotide ribosomal RNA is filed under the name uncultured bacterium. Its description in RNAcentral is "partial 16S ribosomal RNA". It matches the Rfam family "Bacterial small subunit ribosomal RNA", at positions 524 to 776 of the family's 1533-position model. The record is from RNAcentral.
UACGUAGGGCGCAAGCGUUGUCCGGAUUUAUUGGGCGUAAAGAGCUCGUAGGCGGCUUGUCGCGUCGACUGUGAAAACCCGUGGCUCAACCAUGUGGUCUGCAGUCGAUACGGGCAGGCUAGAAUUCGGUAGGGGAGACUGGAAUUCCUGGUGUAGCGGUGAGAUGCGCAGAUAUCAGGAGGAACACCGGUGGCGAAGGCGGGUCUCUGGGCCGAUACUGACGCUGAGGAGCGAAAGCGUGGGGAGCGAACAGG